RNAcentral lists this long non-coding RNA (1416 nucleotides) under Oryzias sinensis (Chinese medaka). RNAcentral describes it as "lncRNA (ENSOSIG00000021401.1)". Lineage: Eukaryota; Metazoa; Chordata; Actinopteri; Beloniformes; Adrianichthyidae. The record is from RNAcentral.
CUUCACCGAAAGGAAAUGGACCAAUAUCUUACACUGUGACCAACCUUCAUCCUCAAACAAAAUACACAUUUACCCUCAUCUCUGUAUUUGAGACCAUCACAAGCACUGGAGUCAUCUUUUCGGCAGUAACUGGUAAGAUAUGACCCUCAUGUAAUUGAUAAACACCAUGUCCAUUAAAAGUCAGCAAUGAACGUCAAUUCAAAUGGCACACAAUUUAGUAUUAACCUUGACUUGUUCCUGGUGUUGUUUUGUUUUCAGCUCCCCAAAAUGCAGAAAAUUUCACAUCAACUGGACAAAACGAGACAAGCAUCAAUCUGCAUUGGGCUAUAGUAGACAACAAUGUUAGCUUUGUUCUUCAGUUUGAUGGCAGACAGGAAAAUAUUACUUCACCAGUAGGAGAUGGACCAAUAUCUUAUAUUGUUACCAACCUUCAUCCUCAAACAGAAUACACAUUUACCCUCAUCUCUGUGUUUGAGAACAUCACAAGCACUGGAGUCAUCUUUUCUGCAGUAACUGCUCCCCAAAAUGCAGAAAAUUUCACAUCAACUGGACAAAACGAUACAAGCAUCAAUCUGCAGUGGGCUAAAGUAGACAACAAUGUUAGCUUUGUUCUGCAGUUUGAUGGGGGGCAAUCAUCAGUUAUACAUUCGUACAAUAACUAAUCAAACUUUGGAUGAUUAGACAUAUAAAUAAAUAUUGCUUGAAAGGGAGUGGAAGGAAGCAAACUUAUAUAAUCCCACCCCGUUAUACCCUUACCAUUUUUCAACAUGAUUUAUCAUUAUCCGGUUCCAAACUUUUAUCAGACAGAAUUAAGAAUCUUUCAAUAUCAAUAAAGCACAUGACAAAGAUGAAUUACUUACAUUUUUUGUAAAAAAUAACUUUUAGAAAUCAACAUGGCAAUGAAGUAUCCAAAUAUAUGAAGAUUAUGUUACUUAUAAAAGUCAUUGAUAUCAAAAAUAUAUAUAUAUUAAAAAAAUAAUACUAUAUCAGUAAAAUAGACAUAACACUGUUUUAGGAAUAUUCAUAGUAAAAUUUGAUCAAGUGUCAAAAGUUAAAAAUAUGUGCAAAAUUAUGCUACAUCAGGAAAAAAUCAUGAAUCAAUUUAUCGAUUUUUUUGGAGCAAGUGAAGUAAUGUCAUUAAAAGUCAAUCAAUUUAACCAUUUUCAAUAAUUGAUUAAUCAUUUGUUUUAUUAUUUUUUUGUAUUUUUUUUUCCAUUUUUUUUUUGUUAUGAUAAAGUAAUGCUGUGAAGUAAAAUAAGAAGGGUCCAUAUUUUGUCGAAUGACCAAGGUUGGCAUUUCUUCUUCUGCUGAUUAACAGCCGUUCUUCUUGGUUUAAACAGUUUAUAGUUCUCUUCGAUGUUAUGUCUGCAGACAUUAAAUAAAGGUCCAUAUCCUUCUUCACCAUCUGACCAGAAG